ACAAAUGCCCUGCUUCCAGGAAAAGCCUCUAAGCAUCAGGUAACAUCAAAUCGUACCCCAAACCGACACAGGUGGUCAGGUAGAGAAUACCAAGGCGCUUGAGAGAACUCGGGUGAAGGAACUAGGCAAAAUGGUGCCGUAACUUCGGGAGAAGGCACGCUGAUAUGUAGGUGAAGCGACUUGCUCGUGGAGCUGAAAUCAGUCGAAGAUACCAGCUGGCUGCAACUGUUUAUUAAAAACACAGCACUGUGCAAACACGAAAGUGGACGUAUACGGUGUGACGCCUGCCCGGUGCCGGAAGGUUAAUUGAUGGGGUUAGCGG
Molecule: ribosomal RNA, 322 nt
Filed under: Escherichia coli
Lineage: Bacteria; Pseudomonadati; Pseudomonadota; Gammaproteobacteria; Enterobacterales; Enterobacteriaceae
Description: partial 23S ribosomal RNA
Rfam family: Bacterial large subunit ribosomal RNA
Source: RNAcentral